UGGGGGAACAGUGGGACACCAAUCAGGCCCCAGAGGACUGGAAUUUCUCCAGGCUGGGCUAGGCAGAACGUUGUGAAAGUGGACAUGGAUGAGGAGGAAGGCGAAGCAGUGAAAUCGGGGCUUUCUAUUGUUAGAAGAGAUGCAGAGGAGGAGGGAGGUGGCGGGGAUGAGACCAACUCCGGAGGGGGCGCCAACUCGGACACAGACUGUUCAGACGGGGAGAAUGAACAGAGUUCGAACGCUCAGAGUGCAGUGGAGAAGCCACACCCUUGCUCCCAG
Molecule: long non-coding RNA, 279 nt
Organism: Oncorhynchus keta (chum salmon)
Lineage: Eukaryota; Metazoa; Chordata; Actinopteri; Salmoniformes; Salmonidae
Exons: 4
Source: RefSeq, a predicted model, not a curated record